CCUACGGGAGGCAGCAGUGGGGGAUAUUGCACAAUGGGGGAAACCCUGAUGCAGCGACGCCGCGUGAGUGAAGAAGUAUUUCGGUAUGUAAAGCUCUAUCAGCAGGGAAGAAAUGACAGUACCUGACCAAGAAGCCCCGGCUAACUACGUGCCAGCAGCCGCGGUAAUACGUAGGGGGCAAGCGUUAUCCGGAUUUACUGGGUGUAAAGGGAGCGUAGACGGUUAUGUAAGUCUGGAGUGAAAGCACGGGGCCCAACCCCGGGACUGCUUUGGUGACUGUGUAACUGGAGUACAGGAGGGGGAGGAGGAGUGUAUGGUGGAGCGGUGAUAUGCGGAGAGAGCAGACGGA
RNAcentral lists this ribosomal RNA (349 nucleotides) under uncultured bacterium. RNAcentral's name for it is "partial 16S ribosomal RNA". It matches the Rfam family "Bacterial small subunit ribosomal RNA", at positions 338 to 705 of the family's 1533-position model. The record is from RNAcentral.